GGCAUCGGGAUUGAAGCUUGCUUCAAUUGCCGGCGACCGGCGCACGGGUGCGUAACGCGUAUGUAACCUACCUAUAACAGGGGCAUAACACUGAGAAAUUGGUACUAAUUCCCCAUAAUAUUCGGAGAGGCAUCUCUCCGGGUUGAAAACUCCGGUGGUUAUAGAUGGACAUGCGUUGUAUUAGCUAGUUGGUGAGGUAACGGCUCACCAAGGCAACGAUACAUAGGGGGACUGAGAGGUUAACCCCCCACACUGGUACUGAGACACGGACCAGACUCCUACGGGAGGCAGCAGUGAGGAAUAUUGGUCAAUGGACGCAAGUCUGAACCAGCCAUGCCGCGUGCAGGAAGACGGCUCUAUGAGUUGUAAACUGCUUUUGUACGAGGGUAAACUCACCUACGUGUAGGUGACUGAAAGUAUCGUACGAAUAAGGAUCGGCUAACUCCGUGCCAGCAGCCGCGGUAAUACGGAGGAUUCAAGCGUUAUCCGGAUUUAUUGGGUUUAAAGGGUGCGUAGGCGGUUUGAUAAGUUAGAGGUGAAAUCCCGGGGCUUAACUCCGGAACUGCCUCUAAUACUGUUAGACUAGAGAGUAGUUGCGGUAGGCGGAAUGUAUGGUGUAGCGGUGAAAUGCUUAGAGAUCAUACAGAA
RNAcentral lists this ribosomal RNA (648 nucleotides) under uncultured bacterium. RNAcentral describes it as "bacterial SSU rRNA". It matches the Rfam family "Bacterial small subunit ribosomal RNA", at positions 68 to 706 of the family's 1533-position model. The record is from RNAcentral.